AAAAUGCCUCUCUCCAACACAACCUUUGCCCCUCUUUUUUCUCUGCACCUAACAAAAGAAAGAAAACGAAGGAGGUCAUACUUCUGGAGGUCUCAAACUCUGAAUCCAAACUCUGGCAUGAGGAUCAGCUUCAUGCUGCAGAGGGGGGCCAGCCAAGAACAGACCGAAAUAGCCCUGACACGCGGCUGACCCACGUCACCCACACCAGUCCUCUGUGACCAGGAUGCCCAGUACUGCCUGAAACUUCUUGGGGUACUAUGUAAACAGCACAUAUUUUAAAACUUGGAACCAGAUUUCAAAGGUGCUUUGUAAUUAUAAUUAAACUCAAAAGAUUCUCUCUAUUUUGUGGUUGUGGAUAUAGCUGUUUGUGAAAGGGGCUAGAAAGCCCGUUUAACAAAGCAGUUACGACCUUGAAACUGGAGAAACUGCCUCCAAUCCUGCUUGGAACAAGGUUGGGUAUGAAAAUCAAUAGCAGCCUGGGCUUCUUCCUGGAGACUGUUGACAAAGGAACUUGAGAAGGCAAAAACCCCUUUAACCCACUGGAGGACGCGCUGAAGGCUGGGGAGAACGACAUUCUGCUGGUGAUGGAUGAGCAGCUCACUCCCCUCCGAGCCCGCGAUUAGAGACAGCUCCACCAGCCCAUGGAUCUCAGAUGCUCAAACUGCUGAAAGAGAGCUGGGGGAGCCGCCUGCCUACCCCCUCCUUCGGAUGAUUGUUCUGCUGGAGAAGCCACAGCUUUCCAGAAACUCCUUACCCUCUCCAGGUGCCUCGCAGCCCUCAGGGUGCGGAAGCCUCAAAUGAACCAAGAGCUCUUGUUGCAGCCUGAGCUGCCUGCCUCUUAUCCUCUUCUCCACAGUCCACAGAUCUCAACAUCGUGGAAGAAAAAGUCUAUUAUACUUGAAAACUCAUAGUGAGGAGAGCUUGACGUUUCCCCCUGUGCAGAAAAGAAAAAGAAAGAUCCCAUUUUCUUAAAAGUUUUCCUUAUAGAUUCUUUUGAUGUGCUAAUUUCAGGUCUUGUCCUAGAUCUUGAGAAUAAAAGAACCAACAAUAAGUAUCCUUUGUGCCAGUGUCCCUUGGACACUGUCUCUCUGUCACUCACACACACCCCCCCUCUGCUGAACCCACAGUUUUUCUGCCAACUCUAUUCCACGUAUCAUCCCCUCCUCUCCACCCCACGUCCCCCCCAGCACCAGGCUCUCACCGUCUCCCACCAGGACUAGCACACAAGCCUCCUGAUUCGGAUCCAUCUCUGUGGUCUCAUAUCUUUCUUUUUUUGGAGGGGAAAUGUGGACUGAAUAUCAGGUUUCAAAUGACUUCUACUUUUUAGUAAAUGUAGCAUCAUGAGAGGGUUUUGGGGUAAGUGAUAAAGAAAUUUUAAUAAUUGAGAGUAGCCAAAAUUCGAGAACUAAGGAAAAUGCAUAAGCCGUUAGGUCUGAUUUGAUAAAAAUACUUUGCAUCCAUGAUUGUCCACCAGCAAUGACAAAUGAAUGCUGUCAGAAAACAUUCCAGUUCAAACUUAAGUGGGCAUAUACAGAAAACUGCAUAUUUAUUAGAUACACACUGGAAUGACCGAAAAUACAUAGAAAUCAUUUGUUUUUAGUUUUAUACGAUAUUUUACAAAUGGAGUGGAGCAGCUCUAUACCUUCUGGCACAAUCAUCAAACAUUUAUUGUAUUUAGCAGAUGUAAGACCAUUGUGCAAGAAUGAAUGCAUGGUUAUAACGUCUCUAAAGGAGUUAAACAUGGGUUUUCAAAAAAGACAGGAUCAUUUGGCAACUUUGGAUCUAUGAACAACAUUAAUUUGAUUGCAUUUGGUUCUCAUCCCUUUGCUGCAGGAAUCAGUAGUUUCUUCUUUUCACUGUUGUGUGGGAUUCUGUUGCGCGGAAGUACCACGGUCGGUUUGUCCAUUCACCAGCUGAAGGACAUCUGGGUGGUUUCCAGGUUUGGGGAUUAUGAAUCAAGCCAUUAUGUACAGUUACGUGCAGGUUUUUGUGAGAGCGUAACUUCAUUUAUCCUGGGUAAAUACCUGAGUGGGGUGCUGUAUGAGCGUUGUGGUUUCUCCACAUCCUUGCCAGCACAUUGUAUUGUCAGAUUUUAAAACAUUAAAAAUAAAUGUUUAGC
Long non-coding RNA from Equus caballus (horse), 2119 nucleotides. NCBI's taxonomy places the organism in Eukaryota, Metazoa, Chordata, Mammalia, Perissodactyla, Equidae. The record is from Ensembl.